AGCGAACGCUGGCGGCGUGCCUAAUACAUGCAAGUCGAGCGGACUUUCAUUGGUGCUUGCACCUUUGAAAGUUAGCGGCGGACGGGUGAGUAACACGUGGGUAACCUACCCUGUAGAUUGGGAUAACUCCGGGAAACCGGGGCUAAUACCGAAUAACACUUUUGAACUCAUGUUCGAAAGUUAAAAGAUGGUUUCGGCUAUCACUACAGGAUGGGCCCGCGGCGCAUUAGCUAGUUGGUGAGGUAACGGCUCACCAAGGCAACGAUGCGUAGCCGACCUGAGAGGGUGAUCGGCCACACUGGGACUGAGACACGGCCCAGACUCCUACGGGAGGCAGCAGUAGGGAAUCUUCCACAAUGGACGAAAGUCUGAUGGAGCAACGCCGCGUGAGUGAAGAAGGAUUUCGGUUCGUAAAACUCUGUUGCAAGGGAAGAACAAGUAGCGUAGUAACUGGCGCUACCUUGACGGUACCUUGUUAGAAAGCCACGGCUAACUACGUGCCAGCCGCCGCAGUAA
RNAcentral lists this ribosomal RNA (516 nucleotides) under uncultured bacterium. RNAcentral describes it as "partial 16S ribosomal RNA". It matches the Rfam family "Bacterial small subunit ribosomal RNA", at positions 29 to 523 of the family's 1533-position model. The record is from RNAcentral.